Molecule: ribosomal RNA, 119 nt
Filed under: Mus spicilegus (steppe mouse)
Lineage: Eukaryota; Metazoa; Chordata; Mammalia; Rodentia; Muridae
Source: RNAcentral
GUCUACGGCCAUACCACCCUGAAUGCACCUAAUCUUGUCUGAUCUUGGAAGCUAAGUAGGGUCGGGCCUGGUUAGUACUUGGAUGGGAGACCACUUGGGAAUACCAGGUACUGUAGGCU